Molecule: ribosomal RNA, 460 nt
Filed under: uncultured bacterium
Lineage: Bacteria
Description: partial 16S ribosomal RNA
Rfam family: Bacterial small subunit ribosomal RNA
Source: RNAcentral
CCUACGGGUGGCUGCAGUGAGGAAUAUUGGUCAAUUGACGAGCGUCUGAACCAGCCAAGUAGAGUGAAGGAUGACUGCCCUCUGGGUUGUAAUCUUUUUUUAUAUGGGAGUAAAAUGUUCCAUGAGUGGGCUUUUGUAUGUACCAUCUGAAUAAGGAUCGGCUAACCCCGAGCCAGCAGCCGAGGUACUAUCGAGGAUCCGGGCGUUAUCCGGAUUUUUUGGGUUUAAAGGGAGCGUCGGUGGAUUGUUAAGUAAGUUGUGAAAGUUUGCGGCUCAACCGUAAAAUGUCAGUUGAAACUGGCAGUCUAGAGUACAGUAGAGGUGGGCAGAAUUCGUGGUGUAGCGGUGAAAUGCGUAGAUAUCACGAAGAACUCCGAUUGCGAAGGCAGCUCACUGGACUACAACUGACACUGAGGCUCUAAAGUGUGGGUAGCAAACAGGAUUAGAUACCCCGGUAGUC